Molecule: ribosomal RNA, 253 nt
Filed under: uncultured bacterium
Lineage: Bacteria
Description: partial 16S ribosomal RNA
Rfam family: Bacterial small subunit ribosomal RNA
Source: RNAcentral
GACAGAGGGUGCAAACGUUGUUCGGAUUUACUGGGCGUAAAGCGUGUGUAGGCGGCUUUGCAAGUCGGAUGUGAAAUCCCACGGCUCAACCGUGGAAGUGCAUCCGAAACGGCAUCGCUUGAGUCUCGGAGAGGAAGGUGGAAUGCUUGGUGUAGAGGUGAAAUUCGUAGAUAUCAAGCAGAACACCUGCGGCGAAGGCGGCCUUCUGGACGAUGACUGACGCUGAGACGCGAAAGCGUGGGGAGCAAACAGG